GAGUUUGAUCCUGGCUCAGAACGAACGCUGGCGGCGUGCCUAACACAUGCAAGUCGAACGUGAUCCAGAGCUUGCUCUGGUGAAAGUGGCGCACGGGUGAGUAACGCGUGGAUGACCUACCCUGGUAUCCGGGAUAACAUUCCGAAAGGGGUGCUAAUACCGGAUAAGCCCACGGGCUCUUUGGAGCUUGCGGGAAAAGGUGGCCUCUAUUUAUAAGCUACUGUACCAGGACGGGUCCGCGUACCAUUAGCUAGUUGGCGGUGUAACGGACCACCAAGGCGACGAUGGUUAGCUGGUCUGAGAGGAUGAUCAGCCACACUGGAACUGAGACACGGUCCAGACUCCUACGGGAGGCAGCAGUGGGGAAUUUUGCGCAAUGGGGGAAACCCUGACGCAGCAACGCCGCGUGAGUGAUGAAGGCCUUUGGGUCGUAAAGCUCUGUCAGAGGGGAAGAAAUGAUAUAGUGCUAAUACCACUUUAUCUUGACGGUACCCUCAAAGGAAGCACCGGCUAACUCCGUGCCAGCAGCCGCGGUAAUAC
This 540-nucleotide ribosomal RNA is filed under the name uncultured Geobacteraceae bacterium. RNAcentral's name for it is "bacterial SSU rRNA". It matches the Rfam family "Bacterial small subunit ribosomal RNA", at positions 9 to 526 of the family's 1533-position model. Lineage: Bacteria; Pseudomonadati; Thermodesulfobacteriota; Desulfuromonadia; Geobacterales; Geobacteraceae. The record is from RNAcentral.